Molecule: ribosomal RNA, 406 nt
Filed under: uncultured bacterium
Lineage: Bacteria
Description: partial 16S ribosomal RNA
Rfam family: Bacterial small subunit ribosomal RNA
Source: RNAcentral
AUUGAACGCUGGCGGCAGGCCUAACACAUGCAAGUCGAGCGAGCGGCGGACGGGUGAGUAAUGUAUGGGGAUCUGCCUGAUGGAGGGGGAUAACUACUGGAAACGGUAGCUAAUACCGCAUACCAUCAGAUGAACCCAUAUGGGAUUAGCUUGUAGGUAAGGUAACGGCUUACCUAGGCGACGAUCCCUAGCUGGUCUGAGAGGAUGAUCAGCCACACUGGGACGGAGACACGGCCCAGACUCCUACGGGAGGCAGCAGUGGGGAAUAUUGCACAAUGGGCGAAAGCCUGAGGCAGCCAUGCCGCGUGUAUGAAGAAGGCCGUCGGGUUGUAAAGUACUUUCAGUCGGGAGGCGUUACCGGCAGAAGAAGCACCGGCUAACUCCGUGCCAGCAGCGGCGGUAAUUC